RNAcentral lists this RNase P RNA (323 nucleotides) under mouse gut metagenome. RNAcentral describes it as "Bacterial RNase P class A". It matches the Rfam family "Bacterial RNase P class A". Rfam says of the family: Ribonuclease P (RNase P) is a ubiquitous endoribonuclease, found in archaea, bacteria and eukarya as well as chloroplasts and mitochondria. Its best characterised activity is the generation of mature 5'-ends of tRNAs by cleaving the 5'-leader elements of precursor-tRNAs. The record is from RNAcentral. RNAcentral also lists the same sequence under 1 other name.
AAGACAGAUGGUUGCGUAUGCCACAGGCAUAUGAGGAAAGUCCGGGCUCCACAGGGCAAGAAUGCAAGCUAACGGCUUGCGAAGGCGACUUUAGGGAAAGUGCAACAGAAAGAUACCGCCCGUUUAUACGGGUAAGGGUGAAAAGGCGAGGUAAGAGCUCACCCGUUCCCGUGGUGACACGGGAACGCUGUAAACCCCAUUCGGAGCAACGCCUGAUACAGAGGUUAAGUCGGCCCGACAUCUCUGAAUACGGCGGCUUGAGGCAGGCGGUGACGUUUGUCCCAGAUAGAUGACCAUCCGCGACAGAACCCGGCUUACGGCUU